Molecule: non-coding RNA, 352 nt
Organism: Cinara cedri
Lineage: Eukaryota; Metazoa; Arthropoda; Insecta; Hemiptera; Aphididae
Source: the annotation of a GenBank genome assembly
UACGCUUUAAUUCGGCAAAAUUGCCUGUAUACGUAGGCCCGACUCUGGGGCUGCUAAAAUUACGGACACGUCAAAGACCCAUUGGAGGUACGCUCCCCGCGGUACUUUUUACACGACCGUUACAACGGUCAACUACACAUUUCGUUUAGGCGCAAUUUUUGUAAGUAAAUAUAAUUUAAAACAAAAAAUUGACCGAAAAUACAUUGAGUUAUUUAAUUUGUGUCUGUACCCAACGAUAAACGAUUGCGAACGAAAAAUGAUUCAGAGCAAAAUCCGAUAAGACGGUUUAUGUUUUCAAUGUAGUUUCUCCGUAAAAUUGAGCAAGUCCAGAAUAAACGCCCGAAGUGUUUUU